GUCUGUUUGAGGGACCAAACAGGGUUGGGUUGGGCAGGAGGGCAUUGAGUCCAUGUUAGUUACUGCUAGGUAGUUAGAGAGAAGCUGCUUCUGGGAACAGAGUCCAGGGUUCUGUGCAACGUAGUGAUUCUGUUUGUCUGGCCUGUGGGUCUGAGGAGAUCCAGGGCCCUUAAUUCUAUAGAUGGGUCUCAGCUCUGGGUGCUCAAAGUCCUGCCUGCAGAAUCGCUCUGUACCAACCCUGUCUCCUGAAAAGAAUAGGAAGGUGAUGGGUGAGGAGAGAGGAAGGGAGGUUCCUGGUCUCCUGGAUCCUCUUUAGAGAAAGUGAAAUAUGGGGCCUAGAAGGGGAGGUGGCGGUCAGUGGUGAAGGGCAGAAUGCGUUGGUGGGAGUCACUUCCAUGAAGGGCCAAGCCUAGAGUGAGGGGAAAAUGGAGCCCUGAGGCACAGCAGAGUUGGACUGUCGUACCUCAAGAAAGGUGAUGUGCCCUUGUCCUCAGGGAAAGCAACCCUCCCCACCUCAAACUUGGGGUAGAGCAUCCUCAGGAGAAAGAGGGGUCAAAUCAAGCAGUCGAGUGGAUUGGAGUGAACAAGGUUCUUUUGGGAAUGGCCUUGAUGGUCUAUUGCUCCCCAGGAAUGGAUCUUUAUCUGUCAGGGGUGUGGGAGGACUUGGUCAACAGACAGAGUAUGAGAGCAAGAGUGGAGUCUGUGUGUGUGUGGGUCAACACUCCAGAUUAAUCUGGCUUCCUUUAUUGGCCUACCUGAUUUUUCAGGUAAGAUUGCUAGAUAGAAGGUAAGGUGAUGGGUAGAAAAUAUGCACUAUCCCUGUUGAUCCAUUGUUUGCCUUGGAGAGCUCUUGUCCUUGGCAUCUAGGCUUUCUUUGGAAUGGGUGUAUGGUGCUCCGUGGCAGGGGGAGGUCAGAGUGAGGAAGCUAGGGUAUCAGUGGUGUGAAAUUGAUGUGUAUUCCACAAGAAGUUGAUUAGGUGCUGGUGGAAGCCUGUCUCCUUUAGAAAAACUGAAUGGUUUGCUUCUUCUCCCGUUUGUUUUUCAGCCCCCCCCAGACCACCAGCCGAUCUUCACUCCUCAUCUCAUGUUGCUCGCCAAUCCUUGAGUAGGAUCCAGAGAUGACGAGAACUUCAAGAAAUCUUACUGACCGAAAGCCCAGAGAGCCACACUGAGACUCGCAGUGGAUCUGGAACAGGCACAACACUCUGCCAAGCAGCCUGUGCAGUUUGUUUUAUCGAACUAGCUAGGAGCUAGCCCAGAUGAUCAUCAGCUCUUUUCUCCCCACCCCCGGUCAUGUCAAGGAGCACUGUUGGGUGGAAUCAGGAGCCUCAGAUCACUUCAAAAUGUCAUGACAGAGGAAGACGAGAGAGAGGUAUGCCGUGGCCCAAGGUGGAUCGAAAACUAACACGGAAUUCCCCAAAGCGGAUCUCUGGUCCAAACAAGGGGAAGAUUGUGGAAAAAAUCACUAGCUCAUCUCUUAACCGUGACGAAGCCUACGGACCUCCUGAAGGCAUCCCUACGGCGAUGAGGACGGUGACUGCAGCAACUAGA
Molecule: long non-coding RNA, 1551 nt
Organism: Ornithorhynchus anatinus (platypus)
Lineage: Eukaryota; Metazoa; Chordata; Mammalia; Monotremata; Ornithorhynchidae
Exons: 5
Source: RefSeq, a predicted model, not a curated record